This 809-nucleotide long non-coding RNA is filed under the name Nicotiana tabacum (common tobacco). RNAcentral describes it as "long non-coding RNA (NTAB_LNC004254)". The record is from RNAcentral. Lineage: Eukaryota; Viridiplantae; Streptophyta; Magnoliopsida; Solanales; Solanaceae.
AGCAUUAGGGUUUUAAACCCUAAACUGAACUUUUUCCUUUAAUCAGCAUUAGUGUUUUAAACCCUAAACUGAACUUUUCCAUUCAGUCAGCAUUAGGGUUUUAAACCCUAAACUGAACUUUUCCAUUCAGUCAGCAUUAGGGUUUUAAACCCUAAACUGAACUUUUCCUUUAGUCAGCAUUAGGGUUUUAAAUCCUAAACUGAACUCUUUCCUUUAGUCAGCAUUAGGGUUUUAAACCUUAAACUGAACUUUUUCCUUUAGUCAGCAUUAGGGUUUUAAACCCUAAACUGAACUCUUUCAUUUAGUCAGCAUUAGGGUUUUAAACCCUAAACUGAACUUUUCCUUUAGUCAGCAUUAGGGUUUUAAACCCUAAGCUGAACUUUUCCAUUCAGUCAGCAUUAGGGUUUUAAACCUUAAACUGAACUCUUUCCUUUAGUCAGCAUUAGGGUUUUAAACCCUAAACUAAACUUUUCCUUUAGUCAGCAUUAGGGUUUUAAACCCUAAACUGAGCUUUUCCAUUCAGUCAGCAUUAGGGUUUUAAACCCUAAAUUGACCUUUUUCCUUUAAUCAGCAUUAGGGUUUUAAACCCUAACUGAACUUUUUUCCAUUCAGCCAGCAUUAGGGUUUUAAACCCUAAACUGAGCUUUUCCAUGCAAUCAGCAUUAGGGUUUUAAACCCUAAACUGAAUUUUUCCUUUAGUCAGCAUUAGGGUUUUAAACCCUAAACUGAACUUUUUUCCAUUCAGCCAGCAUUAGGGUUUUAAACCCUAAACUGAGCUUUUCCAUUCAGUCACUGCUGUUUGCUCAGUC